UCUCCGUAGGUGAACCAGCGGAGGGAUCAUUAUUGAAUAACCAAAGUGCGAGGGCUUUUGCUCCCCCCACACGGCGGCCACGGCCGAUUGCCCUCGCACACACCCAUCGCACCCCUAUGUGCACCACCGCGUGGGUCCCCCUAGGGCUCGUUCGGCGGGGGGCUUACGUUCUCACUCAGUCUUUGUAUGCAUCAUAGAAUGUAUUUUAUGUUUUUUCGAUCACGCAUUCAAUACAACUUUCAACAACGGAUCCCUUGGCUCUCGCAUCGGUGAAGAACC
RNAcentral lists this unclassified non-coding RNA (279 nucleotides) under plant metagenome. RNAcentral's name for it is "partial contains small subunit ribosomal RNA, internal transcribed spacer 1, and 5.8S ribosomal RNA". The record is from RNAcentral.